CAGUAGCCGCGGUAAUACGAAGGGUGCAAGCGUUACUCGGAAUUACUGGGCGUAAAGCGUACGUAGGUGGUGGUUUAAGUCCGUUGUGAAAGCCCUGGGCUCAACCUGGGAAUUGCAGUGGAUACUGGGUCACUAGAGUGUGGUAGAGGAUAGUGGAAUUUCCGGUGUAGCAGUGAAAUGCGUAGAGAUCGGAAGGAACAUCUGUGGCGAAGGCGACUAUCUGGGCCAACACUGACACUGAGGCACGAAAGCGUGGGGAGCAAACAGGAUUAGAUACCCCCGUAGUCCCUGUCUCUUAUAC
Molecule: ribosomal RNA, 301 nt
Filed under: uncultured bacterium
Lineage: Bacteria
Description: partial 16S ribosomal RNA
Rfam family: Bacterial small subunit ribosomal RNA
Source: RNAcentral